GAUGAAGAACGUAGCGAAAUGCGAUAAGUAAUGUGAAUUGCAGAAUUCAGUGAAUCAUCGAAUCUUUGAACGCACAUUGCGCCCGCCAGCAUUCUGGCGGGCAUGCCUGUUCGAGCGUCAUUUCAACCCUCGCAGCCCAUCUGGGCAGCGGUGUUGGGGACCGGCCCCACCGGCGAAGCCCUUAGGGGCCCAGCCGGCGCCGCCCCCGAAAUACAGUGGCGGUCUCGCUGCAGCCUCCCUUGCGUAGUAGCACACCUCGCACCGGAGCGCAGCGCGGCCACGCCGUAAAACCCCCGACUUUCUGAGUUUGACCUCGAAUCAGGUAGGAAUACCCGCUGAACUUAAGCAUAUCAAUAAGCGGAGGA
RNAcentral lists this unclassified non-coding RNA (365 nucleotides) under soil metagenome. RNAcentral describes it as "partial contains 5.8S ribosomal RNA, internal transcribed spacer 2, and large subunit ribosomal RNA". The stretch from base 1 to 120 matches the Rfam family "5.8S ribosomal RNA", at positions 35 to 154 of the family's 154-position model. The record is from RNAcentral.